GAUGAAGAACGUAGCGAAAUGCGAUAAGUAAUGUGAAUUGCAGAAUUCAGUGAAUCAUCGAAUCUUUGAACGCACCUUGCGCCUUUUGGUAUUCCGAAAGGCACACCUGUUUGAGCGUCAUGAAUACCUCAAUCUCCAUCUUUUCUUCGGAUUGAUGGGUGACUUGGAUGUUGAGCCCUGCUGGUAUGCUAUAUCAGCUGGCUUUAAACUUAUUAGCCGGCUCUGUACUGGAUCGGUUUGACUCGACGUGAUAAUAUUAUCGUUGAGGAUGCAUGUCUCAUGCAGCCGGAAAGUAUCAAAGCAGCUUCUAGCUUGCCUUUAGUGCACUUUUACAUUUUAGAUCUCAGAUCAGGUGGGACUACCCGCUGAACUUAAGCAUAUCAAUAAGCGGAGGA
RNAcentral lists this unclassified non-coding RNA (395 nucleotides) under soil metagenome. Its description in RNAcentral is "partial contains 5.8S ribosomal RNA, internal transcribed spacer 2, and large subunit ribosomal RNA". The stretch from base 1 to 120 matches the Rfam family "5.8S ribosomal RNA", at positions 35 to 154 of the family's 154-position model. The record is from RNAcentral.